This 555-nucleotide ribosomal RNA is filed under the name uncultured Ascomycota. RNAcentral describes it as "SSU rRNA". It matches the Rfam family "Eukaryotic small subunit ribosomal RNA", at positions 194 to 755 of the family's 1831-position model. The record is from RNAcentral. Lineage: Eukaryota; Fungi; Ascomycota.
GGAAGGGAUGUAUUUAUUAGAUAAAAAACCAAUGCCUUCGGGCUUCUUGGUGAUUCAUGAUAACUUUACGAAUCGCAUGGCCUUGCGCCGGCGAUGGUUCAUUCAAAUUUCUGCCCUAUCAACUUUCGAUGUUUGGGUCUUGGCCAAACAUGGUUGCAACGGGUAACGGAGGGUUAGGGCUCGACCCCGGAGAAGGAGCCUGAGAAACGGCUACUACAUCCAAGGAAGGCAGCAGGCGCGCAAAUUACCCAAUCCCGACACGGGGAGGUAGUGACAAUAAAUACUGAUACAGGGCUCUUUUGGGUCUUGUAAUUGGAAUGAGUACAAUUUAAACCUCUUAACGAGGAACAAUUGGAGGGCAAGUCUGGUGCCAGCAGCCGCGGUAAUUCCAGCUCCAAUAGCGUAUAUUAAAGUUGUUGCAGUUAAAAAGCUCGUAGUUGAACCUUGGGCCUGGCUGGCAGGUCCGCCUCACCGCGUGUACUUGUCCGGCCGGGCCUUUCCUUCUGGAGAACCUCAUGCCCUUUACUGGGUGUGCUGGGGAACCAGGACUUUUAC